RNAcentral lists this ribosomal RNA (409 nucleotides) under uncultured bacterium. RNAcentral's name for it is "bacterial SSU rRNA". It matches the Rfam family "Bacterial small subunit ribosomal RNA", at positions 355 to 794 of the family's 1533-position model. The record is from RNAcentral.
UAGGGAAUAUUGCUCAAUGGGCGAAGCCUGAAGCAGCAACGCCGCGUGUGCGAUGAAGGCCUUCGGGUCGUAAGCACUUUUGAGAGAUGCAGUAUCUCAGGAAUAAGUCUCGGCUAACUACGUGCCAGCAGCCGCGGUAAACGUAGGAGGCGAGCGUUAUCCGGAUUCACUGGGCGUAAAGCGCGUGCAGGCGGUUCGGUAAGUUGGGCGUGAAAUCUCCUGGCUUAACUAGGAGAGGUCGUUCAAUACUACCGGGCUUGAGAGUGGUAGAGGAAGAUGGAAUUCCAGGUGUAGUGGUGAAAUGCGUAGAUAUCUGGAGGAACACCAGUGGCGAAAGCGAUCUUCUGGACCAUUCUGACGCUCAGACGCGAAAGCUAGGGUAGUAAACGGGAUUAGAUACCCUAGUAGU